RNAcentral lists this ribosomal RNA (303 nucleotides) under uncultured bacterium. Its description in RNAcentral is "bacterial SSU rRNA". It matches the Rfam family "Bacterial small subunit ribosomal RNA", at positions 355 to 675 of the family's 1533-position model. The record is from RNAcentral.
UGGGGAAUAUUGCACAAUGGGGGAAACCCUGAUGCAGCGACGCCGCGUGAGUGAAGAAGUAUUUCGGUAUGUAAAGCUCUAUCAGCAGGGAAGAAAAUGACGGUACCUGACUAAGAAGCCCCGGCUAACUACGUGCCAGCAGCCGCGGUAAUACGUAGGGGGCAAGCGUUAUCCGGAUUUACUGGGUGUAAAGGGAGCGUAGACGGCCAGACAAGUCAGAAGUGAAAACCCGCGGCUCAACUGCGGGAGUGCUUUUGAAACUGUUUGGCUGGAGUGCAGGAGAGGUAAGUGGAAUUCCUAGUG